UAUGGCACCCUUGUCAUUUUGGGUUCACAAAGCAAGUGCACUGUUUUCAGAGUGUCUUGCAAGAGGAAAACGAAAAAAUUCGACAGCUCCUACACAUGAUAAAUGGUAUUCAUCGAUAUGUUGACGAUAUUGGCACGGUCGACGACAUUAAAAGAUGGCCAUUCUACAUCUUGUCCUUCAAUAUACUCUGUGAGGCAAAUGGGAUCUACUACCCGCUAGAAAUUGGACUCGUAGAGUACUCAAUUGCGCAAGGUCUCAUACGAGCCUUCCACAAAUUCGUCGACCCAGGUCCAAUACCUCUUGGCUUUGCAAGUGCUGCAAAAAACCACAGUAAGUUGCACUGUUGUUUACAUUAGCUUGGAGCAGUGACUUGUUCAAUGGCACCAUGUAUAUUGGUAAUACUAUGACUCAAGUUUGAGAUUUACGUAGUCUGGUUUGUACUAUCACCAUCUUUAUGAAAGGGAAUCACAUGGCCAGUAGACUGGUCGACCACAUGUUGUGUGGUGCUGCGCCGAAAUGGGAAAACAAAAUGAGAAGGGCACCCUUCCUUUUUCUGCUUGCAUCCCCUUCAUAAGCAUUUUAAAUAUAUUCUAGUCUUUCUUGUGCAUGCCUGCAAACAUGAACAGUUUCAUGUGAAUUUGAUAUAGAAGCACUGCAUCUAUCGCAGCUUUGGAAGCGCUCGGAGUUAAAGUGUGAGUAUGACGGGCAGCUUCAUUGCCCUAACAGAUUCUUCCUCUUCUCUCUGCUCACAAGCAGUAUCAACAUAGAAAGAAGUAAGCGUGGCAGAAGAUGUGCAGACUAGAAGGAAUGGCACCGCUCUCUCUCCUUUUGUUUUGGCAUGUCGCCAUGGCACUGCACGACAUGUGGCUCGCUAGGCUAGGUGCCAUGCACUUGCAGGCUCAUUCAUAAAGAUAACAAUAGUACUU
Molecule: long non-coding RNA, 926 nt
Organism: Dermacentor silvarum
Lineage: Eukaryota; Metazoa; Arthropoda; Arachnida; Ixodida; Ixodidae
Exons: 3
Source: RefSeq, a predicted model, not a curated record